This is a long non-coding RNA of Quercus lobata, 1763 nucleotides long. RefSeq lists it as uncharacterized. Lineage: Eukaryota; Viridiplantae; Streptophyta; Magnoliopsida; Fagales; Fagaceae. The transcript has 2 exons. The record is from RefSeq and is a predicted model, not a curated record.
GUUAAUUUUGUGUUGUAGCCAUGGAUGAAUGUCCAUUGUCACUCCUUGGAAAUUCACCUUCUAUGCCAAAUGUACAAGCCCCUUAAUCCCAAUAUGAUACUAUUGAGGCUGAUGUCCAACUUGAAAUUGUUAAUGUUUCAAUUGAUGUAGAGGAUGAUGAAGAUUACAAUUUAAGUGAUUUUUCUGAAUCUGAUGAUGAUAUAAAUAAAGAUUUUGGUAUGAAAGAUGAUGGAAUCAACAGAACAAUUGGGGGCAAGCUGCUUGAGGGAGUUUGGGAUGGUGAAGGAGACUCAGAUCAUGGGGAUAGUGAUGAGUUGAAGAGUGCAGAAUGAUCAUCAGAUAAUGAAGGGAACCCAAGACCUAGGUUCCCUGAAUUUAACUAGCGCAUUGGAAUGAAAAAUGUACAACUUGAAAAUGAUCUCAAAUUUGCAUCACAUGUAGUCUUCAAGGAGGCACUAAAGGAGUGGUGUAUUAGAGAAAAACAUGACUUUGAGUAUAAACACAAUGAUAAGUGGAGAGUGACAGUUGUAUGUAAAAAAAAUUUGGUUGGAAGAUACAUGCAUCCCAAACACAAAUGGGAGAUGCCUUUCAAAUCAAGAGUUUUAAGAGCAUACAUACAUGCGACAAGGAUCAUAAGAAUAGUAAGAUUUCUUCAGGGUGGCAGGCCAAUAAGUAUUUACCAUUCUUUAGGGAUGAUCGUAGUUGGACAGCAAAUGCAUUGAAGGGUGUAAUGUUUAGGGACCAUGAAGUUGAUGUGACUUUAGAUCAAUGUAAUAAGGCUAAGAGAAUGGCCUUUAAGAUGAUACAUGGUGCUGAGGAAUAGCAUUAUGAGAGACUUUGGGACUAUGCAGCCACUAUUAGGAAGUGGAAUAUAGGUAGCACAAUGAAGAUACAAAUUGUGAAUAAUGUGUUUGAGAGGAUGUAUGUUUUAUCUUGAUGCUUGCAAAAGGGGAUUCUUAGCAGGUUGUAGGCCACUUAUUGGGAUAGAUUGUUGUCAUUUGAAGGGGACAACAGAGGGACAGUUGCUGGUUGCUGUUGGGAAGGAUGGGAAUGAUAAUAUUUUUCCAAUUGCUUAUGCUAUUGUUGAAAUUGAGAAUUAAAGCUCUUGGACUUGGUGUCUACAAUGCCUGUUGGAUGACAUUGGAAUUUGGACAUGUGGAUGAGAAUGGAUGGGUCUUUAUCUCAAAUUGACAGAAAGCAAGAAACAAUUAAUGUGCAUAGAUUAAUAGAGACCUUUAAGGAUUUUAUACCUAAUGUAGAGCACAAAUUUUGUGUUAGGCAUUUACACGCAAAUUUCAAGAAGGAUUUUCCAGGGAAGGUACUCAAAGAUGUAAUGUGGAAAGCUGCUAGGGCAGCAACAAAGAAUUCUUUUAACUUCCAUAUGGAUGAGUUGAAGAAGCUAGAUGUGAAGGCAUACUAGUGGCUUGUGAAGUAAGUAUGGAUGACUUUUUAUUUUAUGGUUGUAUAUUAUAUAGGGUACUCAGCAAUCAAAUAUGGGUAUUCAACAAUCAAGUCAAAGUCGAAUAAAGAAGGACGACACUAACAGAAGCAAGAAGGAUAAGGGAAAGGCUAAGGUUCUAGUGGUAGCCGGAAGAUAAAUAAUGUUUUAGUUCAGUAUUUUGUUUACUGAUGGAGCCGGUAUACUUUUGUUUUUCAAUAUUGUUGGAAAAGUGUGAUUAUUGAUUCAUCGAGUGUUAUUUUUAGGCAAACAAUAUACUAUUUGUAAACACUCAUUAUUAUUCCAAUCCAUGGGAGAUUGAGAC